This 1245-nucleotide long non-coding RNA is filed under the name Anas platyrhynchos platyrhynchos (common mallard). RNAcentral's name for it is "lncRNA (ENSAPLG00000026923.1)". The record is from RNAcentral. Lineage: Eukaryota; Metazoa; Chordata; Aves; Anseriformes; Anatidae.
CUGUACCAGUGGUGCAGGACAGGGGGUUCUGGAGUAGCUGUAGUAGCACUGUGUUCGAUAGGAAGACUACAAAAAUGAAGUCAAGGAAUUUGGUUGUGAAACACGCAGAUUUAGAGUAUAACCAUUGCUUUGAAAAACAGACAAGUCUUAAGGCAGCUGAGUAUAAAUUGAAUGUGAGCAAAUCUACCUGGACUGGCUGUUGCAAGUUAGAGGCAUCCCUAAGGCAGAGCCUACACGAAGUACAAAUUGCAGCACCCAAAGACUGGGCCAGUGUCCUUCUUCAGCGACUUCAGUGUUAUUGAGAUAGCAGGCAAGCAACUAUUAACUUGUCUAAUGAUUAGGAAAGCUAUAAAUAUAAAAAUAACCUCUGUCACUGAUAUAUUUAGAAGUAUUUAUCCUAAAUUGGAAGAACUGGAAAGUAUAUGUUGACUGCCUUGAAUAACAUUUGACAAUAUAUUUACAUUUCCCUUUCACACAAUUUAAUUUCAAAGUAAUGGGUAAGAAAUAGCAGCAAGGCUCAUCUUGUGACAAGACAGAUUUCUGGCCAUAUGUACACCAUCACUCAUAGACAUCCAAAGGGGCUUUGCUAGAGUUAAUCUGACAAGGAAAUACAAGAGCCCAGCAUGCACAGAGAAAGCCGUUCAGAUCUGGAAACGUGUAUCUGCACCAGCAUGGCACUGCCCUGAGCUAACAUCCUCUGCAAACACAUCUGAACUGCCCUGAGCCUUGAACUGCUGUGUCUGCACUGCCUUGGGGUACGGUUUGGGGACUUGCUAGCUUAGGUUUGCUGUGACUCAGGUGCUCCGUUACGUGGCAGGAACCUGGCCUUCAUGUCUAAGCGCAAGCCUACAGAGAAAUUUCAGACGUGAGGCUCCCUUCUUCUUUUCUUCAGCACUCUAAUUCUCUUUAAUAAUACAUAUAUUUCAAACAGACUUAAUUGCUCUGGUACCAAACUAUACAAAUUUUAACAUAUUCUCUAAGUCAUUUUUUGACACAGACAUUUGUCACCACUCUAAUGUCUGGAUACACAAAUGCCUGAUGAUGUCACAUUCACUAUCAAUUCAUUUAAAUAUUUUUAUAUCUAUAUUCAUAGAAAUAUGUGUAUAAGUAGUUUAAGUAAUCUUUCUCUGCCACAACCAGUGUUCUGCUAAGUGUUGUUAACUGAUUCAGCACUAUUUCCAGGAUAUUUUAAAAUUCCUUACUUUGUGCAGCAGACUUAACUGAUGUGGUCCAUUUAUUCCCCCU